This 500-nucleotide ribosomal RNA is filed under the name uncultured bacterium. RNAcentral's name for it is "partial 16S ribosomal RNA". It matches the Rfam family "Bacterial small subunit ribosomal RNA", at positions 30 to 523 of the family's 1533-position model. The record is from RNAcentral.
AUUGAACGCUGGCGGCAUGCCUUACACAUGCAAGUCGAACGGCAGCGCGGACUUCGGUCUGGCGGCGAGUGGCGAACGGGUGAGUAAUACAUCGGAACGUACCCUGUUGUGGGGGAUAACCAGUCGAAAGAUUAGCUAAUACCGCAUACGACCUGAGGAUGAAAGUGGGGGACCGCAAGGCCUCACGCAGCAGGAGCGGCCGAUGUCUGAUUAGCUAGUUGGUGGGGUAAAGGCCCACCAAGGCGACGAUCAGUAGCUGGUCUGAGAGGACGAUCAGCCACACUGGGACUGAGACACGGCCCAGACUCCUACGGGAGGCAGCAGUGGGGAAUUUUGGACAAUGGGGGCAACCCUGAUCCAGCAAUGCCGCGUGUGUGAAGAAGGCCUUCGGGUUGUAAAGCACUUUUGUCCGGAAAGAAAUCGCGCUGGUUAAUACCUGGCGUGGAUGACGGUACCGGAAGAAUAAGCACCGGCUAACUACGUGCCAGCCGCCGCAGUAA